Molecule: ribosomal RNA, 485 nt
Filed under: uncultured bacterium
Lineage: Bacteria
Description: bacterial SSU rRNA
Rfam family: Bacterial small subunit ribosomal RNA
Source: RNAcentral
AACCGAGAACUCCUACGGGAGGCAGCAGUGGGGAAUUUUGGACAAUGGGGGCAACCCUGAUCCAGCAGUGCCGCGUGAGUGAAGAAGGCCUUCGGGUUGUAAAGCUCUUUUGUCAGGGAAGAAACGGUAGUAGCUAAUAUCUAUUACUAAUGACGGUACCUGAAGAAUAAGCACCGGCUAACUACGUGCCAGCAGCCGCGGGAAUACGUAGGGUGCAAGCGUUAAUCGGAAUUACUGGGCGUAAAGCGUGCGCAGGCGGUUGUGUAAGUCAGAUGUGAAAUCCCCGGGCUCAGCCUGGGAAUUGCAUUUGAGACUGCACGGCUAGGGUGUGUCAGAGGGGGGUAGAAUUCCACGUGUAGCAGUGAAAUGCGUAGAUAUGUGGAGGAAUACCGAUGGCGAAGGCAGCCCCCUGGGAUAACCCUGUCGCUCAUGCACGAAAGCGUGGGGAGCAAACAGGAUUAGAAACCCUGGUAGUCCGACUGAGA